AAAAAAAUCGAAUCACGCUCGAGCUCUCUGAGAGCACGGUAUAACUAAAUUGACUUGUACCCGCUGUGGAACGAUAUUUCCCGAACUCUUCACAGCACUGAAGAAGAAUUCACGAACUGACGUUGCGAAAAUUACGAGUUACAGUUGUUGGGUCUGGAAAAAGCUGAUGAAAAAAUAAUUGUAAAAUAAAAAAGUGAAAUAAUGGACGCAUGGAAAGAGGGUUCGAAAAUACAUCAGAAUGCAAAACAGAAAUCUGGAGAUUGAUCUCGAGAGAAUAUAGAAGCCAAAUAUACUUAACGAAGACCGCAUCAUCUGGAGAAUAUGACAUACCGGAAGCCUCUUAGAUCGCCUUUUGGAUAGAUGUUUCAUUAUACUUCUAAGGACUUUGAGUAUUGUUUGGAACUAUAAAUUCAAAGAGACCCGAACAGGAAUUUUAGAUAAUUUCGUUUACUGGGGAGUAUAAAUUAUAAUUGAUACCAAAUUCAAUUUAGAAUUACCUUGACAACUAGCGCUACUUUGGACUAAGUAAGCUUCCACGGCAAUGAAAUGUCUACAUAAGCUCCCACGACAGUCGGGUCUUCGUAACCGGAAUGGACUCAAAAAAAAGCUGGCUUUGGUGUUAGGUUGAGAUUCGAUUCUAUACAAAGCAUUUAAAAUAUAUCAACUAAACUUGAAAAAUAUUUUUUUGUGAUGGUCUCGGGCACUUUUUCAAAAAUCAGAAGACAAUUUAUAUUUCCAGCAUUGUCACAAUUUUAUUUCAGAAGAAAUAUAGCCAUUGGUCUAUUAUAGAAGAGGAUGAUCAAGAAAAUGACAUUUAACAGAUUAUUUAGAGAAGACCUUCGGCAAGACCGUUCAGUCAAGAAAGAUGAAUUUGGAACAAUAUUCAGUCUUAAAUAUGUAUGGAUCAAUAAAGUCUUUGGCUUGCGAACCACAGACGCAAAUUUUUCCUGAGUAUAAGAGGUGUAAAAUAUAUAAUGAAGAAUAUUCGCACUGCCAAUGUCGAUAAUUGGAAUUUAACACAGAUCUAGUGGAGUGUCGAAUACUCUAAGCCCCUGGGUUGCAAACUUCGGCGAGCGCAGAGUUGAUUUAAAUGAAAUUUCGUCGAUGUUUCAGUGUUCUGUGCGGCAGAAGGUUGAAAAACCGUUGCCAAGAUAAUCUGGACUACGCGAUCGGUAUGGAUCUGGAGUUUUAUCCAUCUGAGGAAUGUCAACUCGACUGCAUUUCUCAAAAUUACUUGUCGAAACACAAAUCAUAAAAUUGACUCAACAAAAAUAAUGAACUUUUUUUGUCUCGGUCCGUGCUGGUCCAUUUCAACAAACCGAAUAUAUGAGUAAUAAUGGCUUUAUUAAACUUUCUUCCAGUAAUGAAUAGGCCUAAAAUUAUAUAAGGAAAAAUCUAUAUUUUUUCAUACCUCAAUCUCCGUAUAAGCGUCUGAUUCCAAUGAUUUAUACUACAAAAUCUUUCAUCGCUUUUUUUCUUCUG
Non-coding RNA from Bactrocera oleae (olive fruit fly), 1482 nucleotides. The record is from RefSeq and is a predicted model, not a curated record. NCBI's taxonomy places the organism in Eukaryota, Metazoa, Arthropoda, Insecta, Diptera, Tephritidae.